RNAcentral lists this ribosomal RNA (253 nucleotides) under uncultured bacterium. RNAcentral's name for it is "partial 16S ribosomal RNA". It matches the Rfam family "Bacterial small subunit ribosomal RNA", at positions 524 to 776 of the family's 1533-position model. The record is from RNAcentral.
UACGAAGGGGGCUAGCGUUGCUCGGAAUCACUGGGCGUAAAGCGCACGUAGGCGGAUCUUUAAGUCAGGGGUGAAAUCCUGGAGCUCAACUCCAGAACUGCCUUUGAUACUGGGGAUCUCGAGUCCGGAAGAGGUGAGUGGAACUCCGCGUGUAGAGGUGAAAUUCGUAGAUAUUCGGAAGAACACCAGUGGCGAAGGCGGCUCACUGGUCCGGUACUGACGCUGAGGUGCGAAAGCGUGGGGAGCAAACAGG